This 605-nucleotide ribosomal RNA is filed under the name Reyranella soli. Its description in RNAcentral is "bacterial SSU rRNA". It matches the Rfam family "Bacterial small subunit ribosomal RNA", at positions 44 to 693 of the family's 1533-position model. Lineage: Bacteria; Pseudomonadati; Pseudomonadota; Alphaproteobacteria; Hyphomicrobiales; Reyranellaceae. The record is from RNAcentral.
AGGUUUAACACAUGCAAGUCGAACGAGUGUAGCAAUACACGAGUGGCGCACGGGUGAGUAACGCGUGGAUAUCUGCCUUUUGGUUCGGAAUAACCCCGGGAAACUGGGGCUAAUACCGGAUGGUUCCUUCGGGAUAAAGAUUUAUCGCCAAAAGAUGAGUCCGCGUACGAUUAGCUAGUUGGUGAGGUAAUGGCUCACCAAGGCGACGAUCGUUAGCUGGUCUGAGAGGACGAUCAGCCACACUGGGACUGAGACACGGCCCAUACUCCUACGGGAGGCAGCAGUGGGGAAUAUUGGACAAUGGGGGCAACCCUGAUCCAGCCAUGCCGCGUGAGUGAUGAAGGCCUUCGGGUUGUAAAGCUCUUUUGGCGGGGACGAUGAUGACGGUACCCGCAGAAUAAGCCCCGGCUAACUUCGUGCCAGCAGCCGCGGUAAGACGAAGGGGGCUAGCGUUGUUCGGAAUUACUGGGCGUAAAGCGAGUGUAGGUGGUUGUCCAAGUUGGAUGUGAAAGCCUUGAGCUCAACUCAAGAAAUGCAUUCAGGACUGGAUGGCUAGAGGACCGGAGAGGAUAGUGGAAUUCCCAGAGUAGUGGUCAAAUACGUAG